Molecule: long non-coding RNA, 3886 nt
Filed under: Homo sapiens (human)
Lineage: Eukaryota; Metazoa; Chordata; Mammalia; Primates; Hominidae
Description: non-protein coding lnc-KRT80-8:2
Source: RNAcentral
GGUUCUCAGGUGAGGGUGCCGAGGUCUCGCUCACACCUUCCGAGGCUGGGCACCUGGGGCUAGGUUAUAAAGAAACUUAGCCGGGGCUUCCCCAGGAAGAGGUGGAAAGAGCGAGGCCCAGAGAGACUCGGUGGCGGUCCAAAGUCACAGCGAUUCGGCUGCUGGCGAGGACAGGGCCUGGCCUUUGAGUCUGCGGGCGCCCUGCCUGCAUCGCUUGGCAUUCAUGCCACCCCAAGGGCAAGGAACCCAGGUAGCAGGGCACCCAGCUUCCACACGAGAAGGCAGCUUACAGAGAAAUAGGACUUUCUCCUGAAGAGGGCACUUCCCGAGGCGGGGGUGCAGGCCCCGGCAAAGCCCAGGUGAUGGAUUCACUGAUCUGGCUGCUCCCAUACCACUGUGUGACUUAGGACAGUCACUUGACCUCCUGAGCCUCAGCUUCCUCGUCUCUAAAACAUGAUAUGAUCAGAUUAUCCACCAUAUCUGGCUGUCAGGAUGAUAACAGCUGUGGAGGUGCCUUGUACACAGUAGAUACUGAGUUAGUUCUCCCUGCUCUCCCCAAUCCAAAGGAGUGCUUCAUGCACUCAGAGGCCCACCACCGUGACCAGGAAGCCCUGGGAAGCCCACCCUCCUCUGACCAGAGUCUUCAGGCCCAGGCUUCCAUGGUAAGAAUUUUCCUGGGGGUGCAGGCACUUGGAAGGUUUCUCUCUCCCAUGUGACUGGAGCCCUCUUUGGAAAUGGAAGAACCAUCCUGUCCUGAGCAAAUCCUUCUCCCCCAGCAGCUGCCCACUCAGGAGAGGCUGGUCAGGAAGGCCCGGCCAAAGUUGGAGCAAUGGGAUUGGGGCUGGCUGGGUGGGGUUGGGGGUUACCAUCUCUGCUCCUAUACCCCCGUACAGGCAAGGUCAUUGGGGAACACCCAUUAGGGAGGAUCCAGUCAUGUGCUCUGCUGUGCCAGCCACUAGCCCCUGAUCCUUUUUGGAGCCACCUUAAAUUAUGAGCAUGCUAUACAAUCUCCAGCACCCAGCCCAGGCCCCACGCAGCAAAGAAUCUCUUCUGUGCUCAAAAUUCUCCAAAAGAGGCCCCACACCUCCACUCAGCCCUCAUUCCAGGGGCUGCAUUCCUCUCUCCACCCCACUGCCCACCCCCAGAAAUCCUUUGCUGGACAAAUCCUAAACUCUUGGCGCAACUCAGAAUUCCCUUUCUCUCAUUCUUCAUAAUGAUUCCAAGAACCUCUGCAGAGUUUGUCUCUCAAAAUCACAUCCCAAGAACCUGUACAUUUCUCUCCCAGGUUCAAGUAUUAGGUCAAUUUGCAGAUAAAGAAACUGAGGCUUCAAAAAUGACAAGGCGUUGGGGUGGGGGAAAGGGACUGACUUUUCCUCACUCACCCUGUGCCCUCCUGUUUCCUACCCCAGCAGCUUCUUUCACAUGGGCUUCUUAGAGGAGCAGCUACCCCACCCCCUCUUUUCCUUUCUUUUUCCAGAAGUCUAACUUUUGAAAUACAUUUUAAAAUAUUUGCCUGUGUGGGAGAAAUACAUUUAUUUAGACAGGAAGGGAAAAAAAGGGCUCAGUUACCAGUUUUUCCAUGAAGGCUUCCAGCCCACAGAGGUCUCUCCUUUCCAUAAAUACUUUUAGCAUAACUUGUCUUUAUUAUAUAUUCUCCUAUUUAUAAUCAAAUAAAACAUAUUCUAAAAUGUGGAAUGCCAGAACACGCACGCUUUGGGUGGCAUGUGGAGGCGGCGUGAGAUGGUGGAAGAAGCAGUCUCUAGAGGUCUGGGAUGGACACUGGUUGUCGGAGGACUGAACAGAUGUGGAGGUACCUUGUACACAGCAGGCACUCAGAGUUAGUUCUCCUCCCUGCUCUGCCCUAGGAGUCUCAUUUCCCUAACCCACAAGAGGCUCUACCUCUUACCAGCUGCAUGACUCCAGGGAAGUUACUUGCCCUCUCUGGGCUUCAGUUUCCUCACCUCAAACACAAAGAUGAUAAGAAACCUAUCUCACAGGGUUGCCAUGAGAGUGCCUCUUUGAGAGCAGACAUAAAGCAUGAAGCGGAGUCUGGCACAUCAUGGCAGAUCUGCCAUUUCCAUACAGGAGGACUUGGAGGACUUGGGACCUUGUCUUGAAGCUGUACAUCCAAGGUGCUUACCCUAGCUUUGCCCAGCCAGUAUGUUUAUUGGGAAUACUGGGGGCCGUGGGGGCUGCACAGAUAGGAGCAAUGUCGCUUCUUAGUCAUUACAAAUGUCCAGUAAACGUCUGCCCUGUUGUUGUCUCCCUGAUCCAGGUCACUCAGCUAGUGAGUUGCCCAGCCAGAACCAUAGCCCUGGUCUUCUGUCUCCAUAGCCCUGGUCUUCUGACUCCCAGGCCAGUGCUCUUUCUACCCAGCCUCUUGUUCCUUCAUAUCUAAUUCCUCUCCUUUCUACAGGCACUGCUUCACAGCCCCUAUUGCAGAUAGGAAAGGUGAGGAGAGAAAAGGUGAACAACGUGCAUGGCCCAGGGAGUCGGAGCAGAGGGGAGACAGGCCACCAUGGCCAGUGACGCCCCACAUUGUGGGAGGUUCCUAGAGGACAAGCUCCUACACAGAAAGCUGGCUCCUAGUCUGAUGGGGAGGCAGGACACAAGAAUAGGUAUGGAAACAUUGCCAGGACAUCCAAGAAGUGGCCUCCAAGAAGCCUUGAGCUGGCAUUGGGGUAGAAUCUAGAGGACUAGUCUCAAGAGGCCUCCCUGGAGGAAGAGAAUGUAGGGCCCAGUGUGAAAGAAGAGACAGGACCAGGCAGGGUAUAGAGAAAAGGCACUCCAUGGAGGAGAGAGGCUGCCCCCAAACCUUAGGUAUGCGGCAGGGCAGGGCUGAGAUCCUGAGGGUGGGAAGUAGUGGGCCAAGGUAAGCCACAGGACCCAGGACCAUAAGCCAGACUCUCAGUGGCCCUCCCCAGGUGCCCUUCCAUCUCACAGCAUCUGAAACUCCACCCCACCUAGGAGACACCCUUCCACUCCACCUCCAUCCUGGCCCUCGGGGGCGGGGGUAAAAGGAUGUCAAGGGGGUUCCCUAGGGCAUUUGGGCAGAGAAGGGGCUCCCCUGCUCAGGCCCUGGCCCUGAAUAAGGAGAGGGGCUGUGGAAGGGAUUCCCUUCAUGGUUUCCUUCCUCUUCUUGAGGAUCAAGAACUACCUGGCCGGGGUCCCCCGACCUCUCCCCAGGCUUAAGAGCAAUUUAAGGGCCGAAAAAAUAGAGACACAAAGACGGGUCUUCCUGGGGCUGUCUCAGGGCUCAGGGGCUGUCCAGAGACACCGCCCAGAUGGGGUUACACUCUCCAGAUUGCAUAAGGAUGAGGAGACCCCACUUGGUGUUUUCGAAGCACUUCCACGUUUGCUCUACUUAGUUGCCAUGGAAGGCGUCAGGGCCCCAAGAGAAAGUGGCCAAGGUCUCCAGACCGGAAAUGGCAGAGCUGGAAUUAAUGCGAGAUUUCCCCUAAAUCCAGGCCAGGGCUCUUAAAAAUCCUCUGCAAUUUUAUUUGUUAAAUUACAAAAUCAAACAUGCUCGUGGUAAACAAAUGUGAGCGUUUCAGGCCUGCGUGAUUUACGAAGUGAGAGGCCCGUAAUCGCACUCCCAGAGGAGCGAGGAUUUGGUCAUCCUCCGACGACGGCUUCCAGAUUUUUCUCCGCGUCGCCAGAGAUGGGAUCUGGCCCGGCGGGUCCUCCCUGAGGGGCCCGCGACCGGAACGCCGGGCCGGAAGGAACAGGGCCGAGCCCCAGCUGCGCUCCCGGGGGCGGCCGGGCUGGGCGGGGUGGGGCCGGGGAAGCCGCUACGUCACUAGCCAGUCCGGAGGGAGCCGCAGCAGGUCCAGCCAGGAUUCCAUUACCUCACCCGGCGGCGCAGAGCUGCGGCUCGGUCAACACC